GAUCUGGUUACUGGCAGGAGGCAUUAAUAAGAAACAAAGGUAUCAAAAAAACCAACAAUAUUUUUGAGAGAGUUGUAAUGACCGAACUGCCACCAGCCUGAAUUAAAAGGAGUUGUGAUUGUUUGAACAAUAAAACUAUUCUUGAGCCCUCAACUUUCUAUAGGCAGCCUGAGGAAGCUGUUCAAUAGCCACAGAGGGCAAUUUUUCACAAAGAGGAUAUUGGAAAAGGAAGGACCUCCUGGAAGGACGAUAGACUAUGACUCUACCUCCAGGAAACAAAACUGAAGAUUGAUUAAGUUUUCUAUACUAACUCAGUUCAGCUUCUGGGAACUCAGCCUCUAUGCUGUGAGGAAGCCCAAGCAGCCACUUGGAGAUAUCUAUGUGGAGAAAAACCAAGGUCCCUGAAAACAGCCCCAGCUGAGUCCUCAAUCAGGAACCAGAAAUAACUCAGAAAUGUAAAUGGCAUGGAAGAGUCUUUAGAGACGAAGUUGCAUUUCAACAAGCUGGUUUUGGGAUUUGUUCAUGUCCUGUGCUUGCAGUUAUUUAUUGCUUUAUAAAGGUUAUAGGUGUCAGGAAGAUAAGCCAUAAGCAACUUAUCAACCCAGAAAGCUGUCGGCCUCCAGGCAUGACCUGGGUCUAGGCCACCUGAUUGGUUCCCAUGUAAUGCAAUAAAAAAAGGAUGUUCUCAUCAGCACAUCAGAAUACUUAAAUUUUGCCUACUUUUGAUAAAGGAUCAAGCCAGACUACCAACUUGGAGAAGCGAUUUUGCCGAGGUCGAAGGCUCCAUUACACCAUGCUCCAAUUGAAAACAGGUA
This is a long non-coding RNA of Mirounga angustirostris (Northern elephant seal), 815 nucleotides long. RefSeq lists it as uncharacterized. Lineage: Eukaryota; Metazoa; Chordata; Mammalia; Carnivora; Phocidae. The transcript is spliced from 5 exons. The record is from RefSeq and is a predicted model, not a curated record.